Molecule: non-coding RNA, 115 nt
Organism: Triticum aestivum (bread wheat)
Lineage: Eukaryota; Viridiplantae; Streptophyta; Magnoliopsida; Poales; Poaceae
Source: Rfam
UGACUACUCCCUCUGUUCCAAAUUACUCGUCGCAGAAAUGGAUGUAUCUAGAACUAAAAUACAUCUAGAUACAUCCAUACCCGCGACAAGUAAUUUGGAACGGAGGGAGUACUAU